This 107-nucleotide small nuclear RNA is filed under the name Dasypus novemcinctus (nine-banded armadillo). The record is from RNAcentral. Lineage: Eukaryota; Metazoa; Chordata; Mammalia; Cingulata; Dasypodidae.
UUGCUCUCUUCGAUAGCACACAUGCUAAAAUUAGAAUGAUACAGAGACAAUUAGUAUGGUCUCUCUGCAAGGAUGGCAAGCAAAUUCAUGAAGCAUUCCAUAUCUUU